UAAAUAGUGAAUACUAAAUUUGGGUCGUUACAACAUUUCUCCCGAAACAUUUCUCUUGUGUGUCUCUGUUCUCAUACCUUCGAUUUUGGCUUCAUCCCGACGACGCCGCCUCUCUCCACAGCAUCGUUCUUCUUUCACCGCCACUUUUUACGGUUUUCUUGUCUUAAUUCUCUGUUCUUGAAUCUUCUAUUUUUAGGAUUUUUCAAAGUUUGGGAAAUUGGUCUUCUUCUCUCUUCUUAGUUUCAUUGGCUUGGUAAAGGGGAGAUCGCAUCACAUGCUCUCACCAAAAUCACACGAGUUUUCACGCCGAACCACCAUCGUGUUGCCGCUGUAACCUGAGUUCGCCGCCACCACCGACCUUUGAACAACAAACACAUCAGGAUUAACGAGUAUAAAGUAGACAUCUAAUUCAUAAAGAUUACCAAUUUUGAAGCAAACAUGGAUAAUGGUAGAGAUGCUAAUGAUGUUGCUAUGUGAUCAUGAUUCUCAUGGCUGCAUAAUUCACCAUGCUGAGCUGGUGUGUUGUUAAUGUAGUCAUUGAUCUUGUAUUAGUGUAGGUUGAUUUUUGUUAAUCGAUAUUGUAUCAGACGCUUUUCUUGUAAUGCUUCUAGUAAUGAGACAUGUUGUCUUGGCUAGGUUGUGAGCCACACCGUUCUAUUGUGGCCUAACAAAACUAGCAUCAAAGCUUGUGUAAAUAAUUCAAAACACCUCUGAAAGAUUGCUCCAGUGUCUUAUGGAUUUGAGAGACCCUUAGUGUGGGGGUCAACUACUAA
Long non-coding RNA from Trifolium pratense (red clover), 773 nucleotides. RefSeq lists it as uncharacterized. Lineage: Eukaryota; Viridiplantae; Streptophyta; Magnoliopsida; Fabales; Fabaceae. The transcript is spliced from 2 exons. The record is from RefSeq and is a predicted model, not a curated record.